AGCAGCCGCGGUAAUUCCAGCUCCAAUAGCGUAUAUUAAAGUUGUUGCAGUUAAAAGCUCGUAGUUGAAUUUCGGGGUUAGUAGAUUGGUCAUGCCACCGGUAUGUACUGGUCUCACUGAUUCCUCCUUCCUGAUGAGCCGUAAUGCCAUUAAUUUGGUGUUGCGGGGAAUUUGGACUGUUACUUUGAAAAAUUGAGUGUUUAAAGCAAGCUAACGCUUGAAUACAUUAGCAUGGAAUAAUGAAAUAGGACGUUCGAUCCUAUUUUGUUGGUUUCUAGGAUUGACGUAAUGAUUAAUAGGGAUAGUUGGGGGCAUUAGUAUUCAAUUGUCAGAGGUGAAAUUCUUGGAUUU
Molecule: unclassified non-coding RNA, 351 nt
Filed under: uncultured Glomus
Lineage: Eukaryota; Fungi; Glomeromycota; Glomeromycetes; Glomerales; Glomeraceae
Description: SSU rRNA
Rfam family: Eukaryotic small subunit ribosomal RNA
Source: RNAcentral